CAGGGAUGCUGGGCAGUCGGCCCAGAUCCCCAGCGGCAGUAUGUAUUCCAGGGAGCUGAAGGUGCCGUCCUACCUCCCCAGUGGCAGUGUGUGUCCUUAGGAGAGGAGACAGUUGGUCCCUCUCCCCAGCAGUCCAGUGAGUUACAGGGAGACAAAGGUGCCGUCCUCCCCCACCCCCCCCCAGCGGCAGUAUGUUUCCCAGGGAGCUGAAGGUGCUGUCCUUUCUCCCCAGCAGCAGUGUGUGUCCUUAGGAGACAGUUGGUCCCUCUCCCCAGCAGUCCAGUGAGUCCCAGGGAGCCAAAGGUGCAGUCCUUCCUCCCCAGCGGCAGUGUGUGUUACAGGGAGCUGAAGGUGUCAUCCUUCCUCCCCAGCGGCAGUGUGUGUCCUUAGGAGA
Molecule: non-coding RNA, 394 nt
Organism: Pelobates cultripes (western spadefoot toad)
Lineage: Eukaryota; Metazoa; Chordata; Amphibia; Anura; Pelobatidae
Source: the annotation of a GenBank genome assembly